Molecule: unclassified non-coding RNA, 250 nt
Filed under: plant metagenome
Description: partial contains small subunit ribosomal RNA, internal transcribed spacer 1, and 5.8S ribosomal RNA
Source: RNAcentral
GUAGGUGAACCUGCGGAGGGAUCAUUAACACGUUCCAAACCCUUUAUCAACCCAACCUGUGAAGUUUCGUAUCUGCCACAUGUCUGGCCGAGUGCUCCUUCGGGAGGUCCCACGGUGUAGGCUGAGAUCCAGGAUGAAGGUGGAGGGAUGCUCUGGUUCCCUCUCUGUCUCUCUCUCAAGAGAUGAUGGGGUGGGAGUCACCUCUCCACACGGGUCGAGUCUACGGUGGUCGUCCUCGAGCGAUCAGCCG